UGAGAACUGGUGCUUGCACCGGUUCAAGGAGUUGCGAACGGGUGAGUAACGCGUAGGUAACCUACCUCAUAGCGGGGGAUAACUAUUGGAAACGAUAGCUAAUAUCGCAUAAGAGAGACUAACGCAUGUUAGUAAUUUAAAAGGGGCAAUUGCUCCACUAUGAGAUGGACCUGCGUUGUAUUAGCUAGUUGGUGAGGUAAAGGCUCACCAAGGCGACGAUACAUAGCCGACCUGAGAGGGUGAUCGGCCACACUGGGACUGAGACACGGCCCAGACUCCUACGGGAGGCAGCAGUAGGGAAUCUUCGGCAAUGGGGGCAACCCUGACCGAGCAACGCCGCGUGAGUGAAGAAGGUUUUCGGAUCGUAAAGCUCUGUUGUUAGAGAAGAAUGGUGGUGGGAGUGGAAAAUCCACCAAGUGACGGUAACUAACCAGAAAGGGACGGCUAACUACGUGCCAGCAGCCGCGGUAAUACGUAGGUCCCGAGCGUUGUCCGGAUUUAUUGGGCGUAAAGCGAGCGCAGGCGGUUUUUUAAGUCUGAAGUUAAAGGCAUUGGCUCAACCAAUGUACGCUUUGGAAACUGGAGAACUUGAGUGCAGAAGGGGAGAGUGGAAUUCCAUGUGUAGCGGUGAAAUGCGUAGAUAUAUGGAGGAACACCGGUGGCGAAAGCGGCUCUCUGGUCUGUAACUGACGCUGAGGCUCGAAAGCGUGGGGAG
This 715-nucleotide ribosomal RNA is filed under the name uncultured Streptococcaceae bacterium. RNAcentral's name for it is "bacterial SSU rRNA". It matches the Rfam family "Bacterial small subunit ribosomal RNA", at positions 67 to 768 of the family's 1533-position model. Lineage: Bacteria; Bacillati; Bacillota; Bacilli; Lactobacillales; Streptococcaceae. The record is from RNAcentral.